CAACGCCUACCACGUGCGCCCAGCUUGCCCCCACACGCUGUCCCUAAUGCAACCUCGCCUGCUCGCACUGCUCCACCUCCCCCAUACGUUGGAGGAGUUCCACGCCUGCCUCCUCUGCUCCCACGGCCGCAACGGCACCACGACGCGCGUCGUCGGGAGCCACCAGGAUGUCUGCUACCUACCCCUUCUCAAGGAGUAGCUCUCCGAGCCAUGGACUGGCGCGAGUGAGGCACCGUCAUCGAGAUCUCAAAAUUCCGGAGAAUGUCUCGAAGUGCAUAGAUUGAAAAAAGUAGCAUAAGAAGAAUGGAUUUGUGGAAUUGAUUAUUUUCACAAGACUGCAAAUCAGAGUAGAUGUUUUUCGACCAUGCUUUACUCUAAACGCUUUAUGAAGCAUCUCAGCGUGCGUUUCAGCUCUACAGUUCUAUAAUCCAUCCAAGUAUCCAUGUAUGUAUGCUCAACAACAUCUAUUUGCUCGAUCGAUACUUGUUGGGUUUUUGAAACUGGGAGCAUGUGGAUAGAUGAGAAGGAUUGGAAUCAUUAUGUUUUGCCUAUUUGGUGGUAAAUCAGUACUACAUUUCUAUGUAACAUUGUUUUUAUAUACGUGUAGCUCUGUUUGGCUUUGGCAGAA
This is a long non-coding RNA of Zea mays, 628 nucleotides long. RefSeq lists it as uncharacterized. NCBI's taxonomy places the organism in Eukaryota, Viridiplantae, Streptophyta, Magnoliopsida, Poales, Poaceae. The transcript is spliced from 2 exons. The record is from RefSeq and is a predicted model, not a curated record.